This 495-nucleotide ribosomal RNA is filed under the name uncultured bacterium. Its description in RNAcentral is "partial 16S ribosomal RNA". It matches the Rfam family "Bacterial small subunit ribosomal RNA", at positions 28 to 507 of the family's 1533-position model. The record is from RNAcentral.
GACGAACGCUGGCGGCGUGCCUAAUACAUGCCAGUAGAACGCUGAAGGCGGAGCUUGCUCUUCUGGAUGAGUUGCGAACGGGUGAGUAACGCGUAGGUAACCUGCCUGGUAGCGGGGGAUAACUAUUGGAAACGAUAGCUAAUACCGCAUAAGAGUAGAUGUUGCAUGACAUUUACUUAAAAGGUGCAAUUGCAUCACUACCAGAUGGACCUGCGUUGUAUUAGCUAGUUGGUGGGGUAACGGCUUACCAAGGCGACGAUACAUAGCCGAACUGAGAGGGGGAGUGGCCGAGCUGGGAGGGGGACACGCCCCAGAGUGCUUCGGGAGGGAGCAGUAGGGAAUCUUGGGCAAUGGACGGAAGUCUGACCGAGCAACGCCGCGUGAGUGAAGAAGGAUUUCGGGUCGUGAAGCUCGGUUGUCAGGUAGGAACGAGUGUGCGCGUGGAAAGUUCACACUGUGACGGUAUCUGACCAAGAAGCGACGGCUAACUACGUG